RNAcentral lists this ribosomal RNA (293 nucleotides) under uncultured eukaryote. RNAcentral's name for it is "partial 18S ribosomal RNA". It matches the Rfam family "Eukaryotic small subunit ribosomal RNA", at positions 6 to 298 of the family's 1831-position model. The record is from RNAcentral.
GGUUGAUCCUGCCAGUAGUCAUAUGCUUGUCCCAAAGAUUAAGCCAUGCAUGUCUAAGUAUAAACAAAUCUGUACUGUGAAACUGCGAAUGGCUCAUUAAAUCAGUUAUAAUUUACUUGAUAGUCACUUUAUCAUUGGAUAACCGUGGUAAUUCUAGAGCUAAUACAUGCAAAAAGUCCGACUUCGGAAGGACUGUAUUUAUUAGAUACAAAACUGACGACACCUUUAACCGUGUCUUUGGUGAUUCAUAAUAACUUUGCGGAUCGUAUGGCCUUGAGCCGACGACGUUUCAU